AAUAAGUGCAGUUGUGCACUGUUCACGUACAACGUUUGACCGUUCAUCUUAUUUAAAAUUCUUUUAGAUUAUUAUUAGAUGAUAAAACAUGAAUAGUGCUUUAUGUAUGAGUAAUUUUUUAAUUUUUUUAAAAAAAUUUUAAAUAAGACGGACGGUCAAACGUUGGAUACGGAUUCCCACGGCUGCAUUUAUU
This is a non-coding RNA of Oryza meridionalis, 193 nucleotides long. The record is from Rfam. Lineage: Eukaryota; Viridiplantae; Streptophyta; Magnoliopsida; Poales; Poaceae.